GAAAUGCGAUAAGUAAUGUGAAUUGCAGAAUUCAGUGAAUCAUCGAAUCUUUGAUCGCACCUUGCGCUCCUUGGUAUUCCUUGGAGCAUGCCUGUUUGAGUAUCAUGAAAUCUUCAAAGUAAAUCUUUUGUUAACUCAAUUGGUUUCUACUUUGGUAUUGGAGGUCUUUGCAGCUUCACACCUGCUCCUCUUUGUUCAUUAGCUGGAUCUCAGUGUUAUGCUUGGUUCCACUCGGCGUGAUAAGUUAUCUAUCGCUGAGGACACUGUAAAAGGUGGCCAAGGUAAAUGCAGAUGAACCGCUUCUAAUAGUCCAUUGACUUGGACAAUACUUUUAUGAUCUGAUCUCAAAUCAGGUAGGACUACCCGCUGAACUUAAGC
This 378-nucleotide unclassified non-coding RNA is filed under the name plant metagenome. RNAcentral describes it as "partial contains 5.8S ribosomal RNA, internal transcribed spacer 2, and large subunit ribosomal RNA". The stretch from base 1 to 105 matches the Rfam family "5.8S ribosomal RNA", at positions 50 to 154 of the family's 154-position model. The record is from RNAcentral.